RNAcentral lists this small nuclear RNA (21 nucleotides) under Arabidopsis thaliana (thale cress). Its description in RNAcentral is "snRNA_13508". The record is from RNAcentral. Lineage: Eukaryota; Viridiplantae; Streptophyta; Magnoliopsida; Brassicales; Brassicaceae.
CCAUUAUCUCCAAUUGCAUCC